AAUUGUUAGUGAUGACAUAAAAGUUAAAACAGAUGGGAAUCUCUCUGAAGGAGAUUGAAGAGUAAUUCUUAAACUGAAACAGCA
Molecule: small nucleolar RNA, 84 nt
Organism: Nannospalax galili (Upper Galilee mountains blind mole rat)
Lineage: Eukaryota; Metazoa; Chordata; Mammalia; Rodentia; Spalacidae
Gene: SNORD79
Rfam family: Small nucleolar RNA SNORD79
About the family: snoRNA U79 or Z22 is found in intron 7 of the gas5 gene in humans and is also present in mice. U79 is a member of the C/D class of snoRNA which contain C (UGAUGA) and D (CUGA) box motifs.
Source: Ensembl